AGGUCAAGCUAAUAAGAGCGUACGGUGGAUGCCUUGGCGCCAGGAGCCGAUGAAGGACGUAGAAAGCUGCGAAAAGCUACGGUGAGCCGCAAGCAGGCGUCGACCCGUAGAUAUCCGAAUGGGGCAACCCGGCGGGAUUAAUAUCCCGUCACCCUAUGCUGAAUCCAUAGGCAUAGCGGAGGCAACCCGGGGAACUGAAACAUCUAAGUACCCGGAGGAAAAGAAAACAACAGUGAUUCCGUAAGUAGCGGCGAGCGAACGCGGAUUAGCCCAAACCAGUUACUUCGGUAACUGGGGUAGCGGGACUCUCAUCACGUGAAGUUUGUUUUAGUCGAAGCGGUCUGGAAAGGCCCGGCACAGCAGGUAACACCCCUGUAGACGAAAAGACGAAUCAGCAGAGAGUAUCCCAAGUACCACGGGACACGUGAAACCCCGUGGGAAUCUGGGGGGACCACCCCCUAAGGCUAAAUACUCCCUGGCGACCGAUAGUGAACCAGUACCGUGAGGGAAAGGUGAAAAGCACCCCGGGAGGGGAGUGAAAAAGAACCUGAAACCGUAUGCUUACAAGCAGUCGGAGCGCUAUAUAUGCGUGACGGCGUGCCUUUUGUAGAAUGAACCGGCGAGUUACGGUAACGAGCGAGGUUAAGCAUUUAAGAUGCGCAGCCGAAGGGAAACCGAGUCUGAAUAGGGCGUCAAAGUUCGUUGCUGUAGACCCGAAACCAGGUGAUCUACCCAUGUCCAGGGUGAAGCGAAGGUAAGACUUCGUGGAGGCCCGAACCGACCAACGUUGAAAAGUUGGCGGAUGAGGUGUGGGUAGGGGUGAAAUGCCAAUCGAACCUGGAGAUAGCUGGUUCUCCCCGAAAUAGCUUUAGGGCUAGCCUUAAGGUUAAGAUUUACGGAGGUAGAGCACUGAUUAGGCUAGGGGCCCUACCAGGUUACCGAACCUUAUCAAACUCCGAAUGCCGUAAAUUAUUCCUUAGGAGUCAGACUGUGGGGGAUAAGCUUCAUAGUCGAGAGGGAAACAGCCCAGACCGUCAGCUAAGGUCCCAAAGUAUGGACUAAGUGGAAAAGGAUGUGGGAUUGCCCAGACAACCAGGAUGUUGGCUUAGAAGCAGCCACCAUUUAAAGAGUGCGUAAUAGCUCACUGGUCGAGUGGCCCUGCGCCGAAAAUGAACCGGGGCUCAAGUCCAACACCGAAGCUACGGAUUGUACAGAAAUGUAUAGUGGUAGGGGAGCGUUCUGUCAGCAGAGAAGCUGUACCGAAAGGAGCAGUGGAGUGGACAGAAGUGAGAAUGCCGGUAUGAGUAAGCGAAAAGGCAGGUGAGAAUCCUGCCCGCCGAAAACCUAAGGUUUCCUGGGGAAGGCUCGUCCGCCCAGGGUAAGCCGGGGCCUAAGCCGAGGCGUAGAGCGUAGGCGAUGGGAAAUCGGUUGAAAAUCCGAUGCCACCAAUCUCCGUUUGAAGGAUGGGGUGACGCAGGAGGGUAGGUUAAGCCAGCGACUGGAAAAGCUGGUCCAAGCGAGUAGGGUGAGAUGUAGGCAAAACCGCAUCUUAUUAAGCCUGAGACGUGAUGGGGAGGGAAAUUUAAGUACCGAAGUAACUGAUCCCACACUGCCAAGAAAAGCCUCUAACGAGGAGCAUUGGUGCCCGUACCGCAAACCGACACAGGUAGGUAGGGAGAGAAUCCUAAGGCGCGCGAGAGAACCCUUGUUAAGGAACUCGGCAAAAUGACCCCGUAACUUCGGGAGAAGGGGUACCCCAUUAGUGUGAAGGUAUUAACUGCUGGAGCAUGAGGGGGUCGCAGAGAAGAGGCCCAAGCGACUGUUUACCAAAAACACAGGUGCCUGCUAAGUAGAAAUACGACGUAUAGGUGCUGACGCCUGCCCGGUGCUGGAAGGUUAAGAGGAGAGGUUAGCGCAAGCGAAGCUUUGAAUUGAAGCCCCAGUAAACGGCGGCCGUAACUAUAACGGUCCUAAGGUAGCGAAAUUCCUUGUCGGG
Molecule: ribosomal RNA, 1996 nt
Filed under: bacterium
Lineage: Bacteria
Description: partial 23S ribosomal RNA
Rfam family: Bacterial large subunit ribosomal RNA
Source: RNAcentral